This 778-nucleotide ribosomal RNA is filed under the name uncultured Neocallimastigales. Its description in RNAcentral is "partial large subunit ribosomal RNA". It matches the Rfam family "Eukaryotic large subunit ribosomal RNA", at positions 24 to 635 of the family's 3401-position model. Lineage: Eukaryota; Fungi; Neocallimastigomycota; Neocallimastigomycetes; Neocallimastigales. The record is from RNAcentral.
UAUCUCUGUAGAGUCUGCAUAUCAAUAAGCGGAGGAAAAGAAACUAACUAGGAUUCCCUUAGUAACGGCGAGUGAAGCGGGAAGAGCUCAAAUUUGAAAUCUUCAAGGUUUUACCUUGACGAAUUGUAGUUUAAAGAAGUGUUUUCUGUUGAGUGUUUCGGUAAAAGUUCUUUGGAAUAGGACAUCAUAGAGGGUGAGAAUCCCGUAUUUGACCGUUAUUAUUCUAGCUGUGUGAUACACUUUCAAAGAGUCGGAUUGUUUGGGAAUGCAGUCCAAAAUGGGUGGUAAAUUUCAUCUAAAGCUAAAUAUUGGCGAGAGACCGAUAGCGAACAAGUACCGUGAGGGAAAGAUGAAAAGAACUUUGAAAAGAGAGUUAAACAGUACGUGAAAUUGUCAAAAGGGAAGCGUUUGACACCAGUGUUGUUUUCUCGAAAAUCAAUUAAAAAUGGCUUGAUUUUGUGUUGUAUUGACCUUAAAAGCUUUCUUCACUUUUUUCAUGUCUUUUUUAAUGCACUUUUCGUUUAACAAGUCAACAUCAGUUUCUUUUGUUAUAAAAAGGUCAUUGGAAGGUGGCUUUCUUUUCGGAGAAAGUGUUUAUAGCCUUUGACUUCUGCAAUCGGAGAGACUGAGGUCUGCAGCGUAGAUCCUUCUGGAUUAGAUUCAUUUGUGCUAAGUUACAACCGUUUAUAGACAACUUGUUGACUAUAUUCGAUCCUGUUAGCUUACUCGCUUAUGUAAUUUUACCUACGCUUAGGAUGUUGAAGAUGUAGCACAUCAU